This 71-nucleotide transfer RNA is filed under the name Nemichthys scolopaceus (slender snipe eel). Its description in RNAcentral is "tRNA-Tyr". It matches the Rfam family "tRNA". From Rfam's summary of the family: Transfer RNA (tRNA) molecules are approximately 80 nucleotides in length. Lineage: Eukaryota; Metazoa; Chordata; Actinopteri; Anguilliformes; Nemichthyidae. The record is from RNAcentral.
GGUAAGAUGGCCGAGUGUCUAAGCGGUGGGCUGUAGACCUACAAACAGGGGUUUAAUUCCCUUUCUUGCCA